AACAGGAUUAGAUACCCUGGUAGUCCACGCCGUAAACGAUGUCGACUAGCCGUUGGGUCCUUCGCGGACUUUGUGGCGCAGUUAACGCGAUAAGUCGACCGCCUGGGGAGUACGGCCGCAAGGUUAAAACUCAAAUGAAUUGACGGGGGCCCGCACAAGCGGUGGAGCAUGUGGUUUAAUUCGAUGCAACGCGAAGAACCUUACCUACCCUUGACAUCCUGCGAACCCUUCGGAGACGAAGGGGUGCCUUCGGGAACGCAGAGACAGGUGCUGCAUGGCUGUCGUCAGCCCGUGUUGUGAAAUGUUGGGUUAAGUCCCGUAACGAGCGCAACCCUUGUCCCUAUUUGCCAGCGAUUCGGUCGGGAACUCUAGGGAGACUGCCGGUGACAAACCGGAGGAAGGUGGGGACGACGUCAAGUCAUCAUGGCCCUUACGGGUAGGGCUACACACGUGCUACAAUGGUCAGUACAAAGGGUUGCGAACUUGCGAGAGUGAGCCAAUCCCAGAAAGCUGAUCUCAGUCCGGAUCGGAGUCUGCAACUCGACUCCGUGAAGUCGGAAUCGCUAGUAAUCGUGAAUCAGAAUGUCACGGUGAAUACGUUCCCGGGCCUUGUACACACCGCCCGUCACACCAUGGGAGUGGACUGCACCAGAAGUGGUUAGCCUAACCUUCGGGAGGGCGAUCACCACGGUGUGGUUCAUGACUGGGGUGAAGUCGUAACAAGGUAACC
Molecule: ribosomal RNA, 730 nt
Filed under: uncultured bacterium
Lineage: Bacteria
Description: bacterial SSU rRNA
Rfam family: Bacterial small subunit ribosomal RNA
Source: RNAcentral